Non-coding RNA from Phalacrocorax carbo (great cormorant), 3427 nucleotides. The record is from RefSeq and is a predicted model, not a curated record. NCBI's taxonomy places the organism in Eukaryota, Metazoa, Chordata, Aves, Suliformes, Phalacrocoracidae.
GGAGUUGUCAAACAGGAGACGAACAUGCAUUUCUUCAUGAGGAGACCACAUGCUAGGCAAUGUCGGCAAACACAGACAGCAGUUGCAAAGGAGGCUUAGAGAACAUGGAGGCUCCUGUCUGACUGACCACGGCCCAGACAAUUCCUCCUGCUGCUGGACAACCCAGCCCUGUUGUCAACAUCACAAGGAGAAUGUGACCAGAAUGGAUUUUCCAUAGAGGAGACAAUACAUAUGAGAGCUCAGCUGCAGUUCUGAUUUUGUUGGGGGGAACUGCGAUGAUGCAUCUUGGAUGGAUAAUAUGGCUGGAGGUACUUUCUGUGGAAAACCCUGAGCAGAGCCUGCGUGAAGCAUGUACUCACUGUGUGAGCUGCCUGUAAAUUGGAGUUCUGAAUGUAAUUUCAAAUAUUGCCUGCAUUAUAGCUGCAGAGAAGUUCAUACCUAUUGCUGUUCAUGUCUCACAUGGUGGCUGUUGCUCAAAAGCAUUUUGAGGGGCUUUGUGGGCUGCAGCUGCAUAGUCCAGCCAGAAUGUGCCAUCUCCUGCAUUGUGAUGUGCUGGGAAGACUAUGUGGGAGAUGAAAAGAUUACAGAUGUAAUCACAAGAGACCAGAACAAAAAAGUGUGAGAGAAGCAUUUAGUCCACUCCUUUAAAAGGAUAAAAUGUUUCUCUGCAGCCAUGGAAGUGAAAACAAGGAUCAGGUUAAUACCUGAACGCUAGCGUCCUAAGUGAAAAUGCAUAAAGAAAUCAAUGUUUCAUUGCACCUCUGUAAAACGAGACAGGGAGAUGAGUAAUCGCGCUGAGGUUUCAGUUCCUCAGUGGGGCGGAAACCAAAGAUCCAUCAAACGAAAGUUAGAGCUUUAAUUUUCUGGCAGUGGAAACUGGCAUUUUGGCAUCCCGUGGAAUUUUGAGCUUGUCAUUGUACCCCAAACAGGUAAAAUGAGUUUUCCAGAAGAAAUAUAAUAAAAAUUAUCCAUGUUUCUGUAUCUCUUAUAAACCCCAGAAAUUCCAGAUUUAGGUUUAGGAAAACGGUUGUAUUAAGUUGAGAUAUUUCCCUCAGUUUCAUCUUAUAAUAUUUUUGAUUUUUAUAUAUUUUAUCAUUUGAUACUAUUUUACAGGAAGUAAAAGUGAAUAACAUCAAUUUACAGGAAUUCAUAUUCCCAGAUAAAUAAUAAAAGAGAAGUGGAUGUUUGUAUCUCCUAAUUCUUGAAUUAAUAGUUAAGCUUAUUUCCUGAUUACUCCUUAUAGAAAUCAAGAACAUACUGGAGCUUGCAAUGCACAGCUUAUUACAUUUAUGGAAUUCAGAAAAAGGAUAUAAAUCUAGAUAAAAUGAUAAAAAAGUCAAGAAAAGAAGUGAGCAAAGACCUGCACCCUGAAGGCAUGGGCACACGUCAGAGGUAUGAAAGGAAUCCCAUGAAAAAGGCAGGCAUCGCAAGAGGCUCCCUUGAACCCCUGGAUAUUCAGCACAGGAAUGCCUGAAAAGGCCAGGAUUUCUGCAGAAUACUUUAUUCCAUUACUUUUUGCAGCAAAUAGAAGAGUUGAUGAUCAUGGCAAUGCUUGGUAGAAGACACAUGGCUAUGGUGGCAGGUACAGAAGGCAAGCUGCAAGUGUGCUAUGACUUCUCCCUUGCUUUUUAGGUUUGUCCUGAGGAUUAGCUAGUGAACAGAAAAUAGGUGUAAUAGAAAGAAAAGCAGGAAGAGGCCACACCUAACGUCGCAGAGUAAGACUUUUUUCUCAUUGAUAUUUAAAGUUGGAUCCUCAGACCUUUGUUGCAGACUUUAACUCAAUGGCAAAUAAAAAUAUCAAGGGAAGAAAGAUAUAUGUGACUAUAAUGCACAGGCAAUCCUUCAGAAAAAGCAUUCUGGAUUUUGAGCUCUACUAAAUCAGUUGGGGUUUAUUGCAAUAUGGUUUUUUGGCUAAUUUGUUCAGGAAGAGGGCAUAUAUUAAAUAUUAAGACCAUAUAUAUACAAAAAAUAAUGAUUUUAUUAGUUAAGAAAGCAAGAAAAAUAUGUAAUGCCCUAGUAAUCCUUAAAUCUGCUUAUCUGGUGCUAGCUUAAUACAUCUUCCUUCUUUAACCAGACUUCUAACUGAAUGAAAGUCCCAGUAAAUCGAUGAGGCCCUUCUGCCCACUAUAUAAAGGUUAAGUUAUCCAACAAAGACUAAAAAUAAUGAUAGGUGACUCAGGUGGACAACAAAAUUCUAAAUUUCAAGUAUUAAAUAACUUCCCUCAUUCAUGUAAAUUGUACCAUAAAUUGACUUUUUAAUCUUAAGACAAAAAUCAGUUCAAAACAGUUUUAUAGCACUUGCUUUGUAGAAAACUUGCAGUCCGGGAAAGGGCUGAGUUAACUGAAUAAAUAAUAUACCCAUACCCCUUAAUAUAUAAUACAUUAAUGCAAGAUAACUUCAUAUUGAUCUGCUGCCAAACAACCAUGAUGACUUACUUAUUUUUGUGUAAAGAGUAGGAUUUUAAAAUAUCAGCUGACAUUAUUUUUCUUUAUUGCAGGGUUGGGUUUGACUGUGCUCACUUCCUAUGUGAAGAUAUUAAAUAUACAAUUUAAAGACAGUGAAAAGAGCUGUAAAAGCCUUCCAGAUUUCUCAACUUUCAAAAAUUCCCAUCUCUCAUUAAAGAUGUGCUAAAGCACACUUUUAAUGAGCAGCCCUGGGUGAUUUUUUUUGUCACAUCAAGAUUUUCAUAGAAAAAUUAAUUAGAAACUUUGGACAAACAUUUCAGUAAUUUAUAUUCUUUACAGUUAACGUUUAAUGUAAAUCUGAUGUUGAACAACAGUUCUAUCCCAUACUGCCUGUAUGCUUUUCAGUUGCAUCUUGCUUCCUGUUGCUGUAGUAUAGUAGUACUAGUACUGGACAGCAAACUGUGGAGUUACCAGAUGCUCUGUAACCAGUUUAGGAGAGGUACACUGGUUCCCCUGGUUUCACAAGUUCCUCAAAAAGAUGUUUGAAGAGACUUUCAAGAACCGACAUGAGCAGAGGCAUGCUUCCCUAGGUCCUUCUCAUGGCUAAAGAAAUGAUCUGGAGAUGUUCCCACGCAGGAAUUCAUAGGCGGGGGCAGAGAUUUGAGAGUUUUGUGGGAAGACGUUGCCAGCCAGGCUCCUGAGCUUGGGUCCACUGCGAAUGGCAGCUGAGGUGCUCACGCUUGUUUCCAGCAGUGCCGUGCAGUGGCACGUCUGUGUCCCUCAGAGCAUGCCUGGGCGUGGAGGAGGACUGUGGGAGGAAACCCCUGCUCACCACUUCGAGCUGUGUUUUGUGCCAAGCCACGUGCAGCUGUCAGUGGCUUUGCAAUGUGCUUGGUCUAUGCUGCGUACUCACAAAUAUUGCUGCUGUCUGUGCUGGGUUUAAUUUUGGGGGGAUUGAAAGAAAGUACCUUGGGAAGGAUUGUACGAGGAGAAGACACAUAAACCUUGCUUCCUGACUCAA